GACGAACGCUGGCGGCGCGCCUAAUACAUGCAAGUCGAGCGAGAAGACGUAGCAAUACGUUUGUAAAGCGGCGAACGGGUGAGGAAUACAUGGGGUAACCGUACCCUAGAGUGGGGAAUAACUAGCCGAAAGGUUAGCUAAUACCGCGUACGCUCCUUGGACUUCGGUUCAGGGAGGAAAGCGAUGCCGAGGGUAUCGCGCUCUUGGAUGGGCUCAUGUCCUAUCAGCUUGUUGGNGAGGUAACGGCUCACCAAGGCUUCGACGGGUAGCCUGGGUCUGAGAGGACGACCAGCCACAUUGGGACUGAGACACGGCCCAGGACUCCUACGGGAGCAGCAGUAGGGAAUCUUGCGCAAAUGGGCGAAAGCCUGACGCAGCAACGCCGCGU
Molecule: ribosomal RNA, 388 nt
Filed under: uncultured bacterium
Lineage: Bacteria
Description: bacterial SSU rRNA
Rfam family: Bacterial small subunit ribosomal RNA
Source: RNAcentral